Molecule: ribosomal RNA, 253 nt
Filed under: uncultured bacterium
Lineage: Bacteria
Description: partial 16S ribosomal RNA
Rfam family: Bacterial small subunit ribosomal RNA
Source: RNAcentral
UACAGAGGGUGCAAGCGUUGUUCGGAAUUACUGGGCGUAAAGCGCGUGUAGGCGGCGGCGUAAGUCGGAUGUGAAAGCCCUCGGCUUAACCGAGGAAGUGCAUUCGAUACUGUGUCCCUUGAGUACCGGAGGGGAUGGCGGAAUUCCCGGUGUAGAGGUGAAAUUCGUAGAUAUCGGGAGGAACACCUGUGGCGAAGGCGGCCAUCUGGACGGUGACUGACGCUGAGACGCGAAAGCGUGGGUAGCAAACAGG